Cyprinus carpio carpio is the source of this 2011-nucleotide long non-coding RNA. NCBI's taxonomy places the organism in Eukaryota, Metazoa, Chordata, Actinopteri, Cypriniformes, Cyprinidae. The record is from Ensembl.
AGGAACAAGAAAACCGAGAGAGAAUUUACCAUAACGCACUCAAAGUUUUUAUGUUUGAUUUUCAGUUCAAUGGACAACAGUUAUGGUAUGUAACCGAAAUGUGUGUUUAAACACAGAGAUGCAAACUCUGCUACCUCAUUAUCAGUUGAAGUAGUUAAAAAAAAAAAAAAAACGUAUUGAAAUUUUUGUUUGAUGAAUAUUUUUAAUUGUUGGAGGGAUGUACUUCCGACAUGCUAACAUUCAAUAUGCUCAAUCCGUUCCCUUACAGUACAAUGUAUCAUUGUUAUUGUAUACUUGAUAUUUUAGUGUGGAUGCUGCCAGAGAGGAUGGAUCACUAGGGAGACUGGUAAAUGACGACGAAGUGAACCCAAACAGCAAAAUUAAAGUUACAAGAGUGGAUGGAAGACCCCAUCUGUGUUUAUUCGCAAUCAAAGAUAUUGGUUCAGGGGAAGAAAUCACUUAUAACUAUGGUAAUUCGGAUUGGCCAUGGAGAAGCAAGGUAGUUAUAUAAAGUUUAUAUAAAGUUAUCUUAAGUAGAAAUAGUAGUAUAGAGUGGUUAAAGGGGUCAUAUAAUGGUAUGUUUUUUCCAGUCAGAUUUGAGCCGUUCGACCUAGUGACAUCACUUUAUCGGACGCCACUCUCACGAUUGAUAAUUGACAAGAUGAGACUUAUUUAGACUUGACUAUUUCAACUUGUUCAGUCCUAUUCAAAAUGUUAGAAACUGACAAGUAAACAGAUUUCUGUUGACCUUAUUUAUCAAUAUAAACUAAUAUGAGGUAUAUCUUGAAGUGUCUAAACUCAUAGGUCCUGUGUAAUCCUCACCAUGUAAGGUUCAGACAUUAGCAGGUCUGUUAGUUUUGUGCAUUAGAUAUGAACUCAUGAGAAUGAUAUUAAGUAGUAGUAUUGAGACGCACGGUCCUGUGUAACCAUUAAGGUACAAACUCUCGAUGACUUUUCGUCUCUUGAUUAGUUUAGACUUCCAAAGAGAUGCCAUGUCAGGCUGCUGAUGUGGACAAAUGCAGUUCCUUUGCAGUCAUUCCAAAGACUUCCAAAGAGAUGCCAUGUCAGGCUGCUGAUGUGGACAAAUGCAGUUCCUUUGCAGUCAUUCCAAAGACUUCCAAAGAGAUGCCAUGUCAGGCUGCUGAUGUGGACAAAUGCAGUUCCUUUGCAGUCAUUCCAAAGACUUCCAAAGAGAUGCCAUGUCAGGCUGCUGAUGUGGACAAAUGCAGUUCCUUUGCAGUCAUUCCAAAGACUUCCAAAGAGAUGCCAUGUCAGGCUGCUGAUGUGGACAAAUGCAGUUCCUUUGCAGUCAUUCCAAAGACUUCCAAAGAGAAGCCAUGUCAGGCUGCUGAUGUGGACAAAUGCAGUUCCUUUGCAGUCAUUCCAAAGGUAAUUUUUGAACUUCAAUGACUUUACUGUAGAUAUGAACUCAUGAGAAUGAUAUUAAGUAGUAGUAUUGAGACGCACAGGUCUUGUGUAGUCCUCAAAUUUACAAGUCAAAGAGGACUUGAGUAAAUUCAGUUGAGUCUUCUGAAGGUUUUUUCUUUUUUUUUUUUUUUUUUGCUUGAUCUAUCACAAUAUUUCUUCUAUCAUUUUUUUGAAAUGUGAUUGUUGUGACCCCCUAAAAAAUUGCCCCACACAGUUGUGGUGUGAAAUCUUUUCCUAUCUGUAUAACAAUAUUCUUGAUGGACUGGCACCAAAUGUUCCUGGUUCUAUACAAUGCCGUUCUAUAAGUCCCCAGUGAGUGUACCUUUGUUUUGUUUUGUAACAUUUAUCAUACUGUGUACUGUUGAAAGGUGACAGAGAAUGAAAAAAACGUUUUUGCCUUGUCUUAGUUGAAUAACAGUAGUCUACCCGCAUACACGAACAUACAAAAAGUGCUAGACAUUCUGAACAUCUCCGUUUCAUAGAAAUUCAUCCUUUAGAAAACGGCCCAAUCUAAACAACGGGUACAUAUUAUGUAACGUGUCUCACUGCCCCUCCGCUUCAAAAUAAUUUUCAUACAUCUACG